Molecule: long non-coding RNA, 229 nt
Organism: Saccostrea echinata
Lineage: Eukaryota; Metazoa; Mollusca; Bivalvia; Ostreida; Ostreidae
Exons: 3
Source: RefSeq, a predicted model, not a curated record
AAUUCACAAAAGCUUGAAUGGAAACUGAAAUCUGAUGGUGGAAGCCAAACGUUGAAACCUUCAUCAGAUGGAAACAAAGAAAUGACUGAACAUAUAUGCCAGUAUGUCGUAGGCAUCUAUCUAGCUUGCUGAGCAUUUGUUAGAGGUGCAAUACACAUAUACUUUCAAUCCAUACAAGACGAAGAAACGCCGAUUGGAAAAGCUGAUUCCAUUAAAGCAAAGAAUGGUG